Molecule: long non-coding RNA, 205 nt
Filed under: Solanum tuberosum (potato)
Lineage: Eukaryota; Viridiplantae; Streptophyta; Magnoliopsida; Solanales; Solanaceae
Description: long non-coding RNA (STUB_LNC008235)
Source: RNAcentral
AAGAAUUUGCUCGCCUAGAUGAUAUAGAAAGGGCUAAUAGAAAUGGAAUACCUCAACCUGAAAAUUCUAUGGGAGCUGGAGGUUCUAAUAUGGUUCAAAGUGUAUUAAAUAUGACUAACCCGGCUAGCCGAAGCACACACCGCACAUAUAGUAAAGAAAAAGAUCGUAGAGAAUUAGCUAAAAUGGUUGCUGUUUGUGGUUUGCC